This 568-nucleotide ribosomal RNA is filed under the name Lodderomyces parapsilosis. RNAcentral's name for it is "Candida parapsilosis partial large subunit ribosomal RNA". It matches the Rfam family "Eukaryotic large subunit ribosomal RNA", at positions 58 to 645 of the family's 3401-position model. Lineage: Eukaryota; Fungi; Ascomycota; Pichiomycetes; Serinales; Debaryomycetaceae. The record is from RNAcentral.
AAAGAAACCAACAGGGAUUGCCUUAGUAGCGGCGAGUGAAGCGGCAAAAGCUCAAAUUUGAAAUCUGGCACUUUCAGUGUCCGAGUUGUAAUUUGAAGAAGGUAUCUUUGGGUCUGGCUCUUGUCUAUGUUUCUUGGAACAGAACGUCACAGAGGGUGAGAAUCCCGUGCGAUGAGAUGUCCCAGACCUAUGUAAAGUUCCUUCGAAGAGUCGAGUUGUUUGGGAAUGCAGCUCUAAGUGGGUGGUAAAUUCCAUCUAAAGCUAAAUAUUGGCGAGAGACCGAUAGCGAACAAGUACAGUGAUGGAAAGAUGAAAAGAACUUUGAAAAGAGAGUGAAAAAGUACGUGAAAUUGUUGAAAGGGAAGGGCUUGAGAUCAGACUUGGUAUUUUGUAUGUUACUCUCUCGGGGGUGGCCUCUACAGUUUACCGGGCCAGCAUCAGUUUGAGCGGUAGGAUAAGUGCAAAGAAAUGUGGCACUGCUUCGGUAGUGUGUUAUAGUCUUUGUCGAUACUGCCAGCUUAGACUGAGGACUGCGGCUUCGGCCUAGGAUGUGCAAAUGAUCUUAAGU